CGCCUGUUUAACAAAAACAUGUCUCUUUGAUAUAUAAUAAUAAGGAGUUGGGCCUGCUCGGUGAAUAUUUUUAACAGCUGCGGUAUUAUAACUGUACUAAGGUAGCAUAAUAAUUUGCCUUAUAAAUUAGGGCUAGAAUGAAUGGUUUGACGAAAAUUAUACUGUCUCUACUUUAAUUAUUAGAAAUUAAUUUUUAUAGUGAAAAAGCUUGGAUAAUUUAAAGGGACGAGAAGACCCUAUUGAGCUUUAUAUUAAAAUAUAAAUAGUUGUAAAAAUGUUAUUUAUUUUUUAUUUUUGGUUGGGGUGAUCAAGGAAUAAAUUUUUAGUAAAUAUAAUUUCCUUAUUAAUAUUAUUUGUUAGGAUAAUAAACCAAAAAUUUUGCUUAGAUGAUAAGUUACCAUAGGGAUAACAGCGUAAUUUUUUUAGAGAGUUCAUAUUAAAAAAAAAGAUUGCGACCUCGAUGUUGGAUUAAAAUAACCAUUAGGUGUAGAAGCUUUAUUUGGUAAAUCUGUUCGAUUUUUAAAAUUUUACAUGAUCUGAGUUCAAACCCGGCGUAA
This 557-nucleotide ribosomal RNA is filed under the name Graneledone sp. CMI-2012. RNAcentral's name for it is "partial 16S ribosomal RNA". It matches the Rfam family "Bacterial large subunit ribosomal RNA", at positions 1797 to 2624 of the family's 2925-position model. The record is from RNAcentral. Lineage: Eukaryota; Metazoa; Mollusca; Cephalopoda; Octopoda; Octopodidae.